GACGAACGCUGGCGGCGUGCUUAACACAUGCAAGUCGAACGAAGAGCGAUGGAAGCUUGCUUCUAUCAAUCUUAGUGGCGAACGGGUGAGUAACGCGUAAUCAACCUGCCCUUCAGAGGGGGACAACAGUUGGAAACGACUGCUAAUACCGCAUACGAUCUAAUCUCGGCAUCGAGGAUAGAUGAAAGGUGGCCUCUACAUGUAAGCUAUCACUGAAGGAGGGGAUUGCGUCUGAUUAGCUAGUUGGGGGGGUAACGGCCCACCAAGGCGAUGAUCAGUAGCCGGUCUGAGAGGAUGAACGGCCACAUUGGGACUGAGACACGGCCCAGACUCCUACGGGAGGCAGCAGUGGGGAAGCUUCCGCAAGGGACGAAAGUCUGACGGAGCAACGCCGCGUGAGCGAUGACGGCCUUCGGGUUGUAAAGCUCUGUUAAUCGGGACGAAAGGCCUUCUUGCGAAUAGUGAGAAGGAUUGACGGUACCGGAAUAGAAAGCCACGGCUAACUACGUG
RNAcentral lists this ribosomal RNA (510 nucleotides) under uncultured bacterium. RNAcentral describes it as "partial 16S ribosomal RNA". It matches the Rfam family "Bacterial small subunit ribosomal RNA", at positions 28 to 507 of the family's 1533-position model. The record is from RNAcentral.